AUGCCUUCUCAAGCUCAAUUGUGGCACGACUUGGCAUUUUCUUCUCCAUUCUUUUAUUUCAAUUAUUUAUCGUCUAUUCUUUUGUUCCGGAGGCAUGGUGAUGUUGCUCUCUUCAAUCCAUCAUCUGGUGUGUCAAGAUCAUGUUCUUUUCAUGCCUAUCCAUUUAACCGGAGUGUGGUGCCAUUCUGCUCAAGUUCUUUUCGCCUUAUCAAGCCUUGCAUCUCUUUUCAACCGGAGUGCUGUCUGAUAUUUUUUCUUACCCCUAAUUCCAUUCAUUCAAUAGUUCCGGAGGCAGUGUGUUGUGAUUUCAUCAAGUAUAUUCUCAUCUUACAUGGUUCUUAUUCAAUUCCUUUUCUUUUCAAUCGAAGUGCCGCCUGA
Molecule: ribosomal RNA, 378 nt
Filed under: Triticum aestivum (bread wheat)
Lineage: Eukaryota; Viridiplantae; Streptophyta; Magnoliopsida; Poales; Poaceae
Description: partial small subunit ribosomal RNA
Source: RNAcentral